UACACUCCUGCGGGAGGCAGCAGUGGGGAAUAUUGGACAAUGGGCGCAAGCCUGAUCCAGCCAUGCCGCGUGAGUGAUGAAGGCCCUAGGGUUGUAAAGCUCUUUCACCGGUGAAGAUAAUGACGGUAACCGGAGAAGAAGCCCCGGCUAACUUCGUGCCAGCAGCCGCGGUAAUACGAAGGGGGCUAGCGUUGUUCGGAUUUACUGGGCGUAAAGCGCACGUAGGCGGACUAUUAAGUCAGGGGUGAAAUCCCGGGGCUCAACCCCGGAACUGCCUUUGAUACUGGUAGUCUUGAGUUCGAGAGAGGUGAGUGGAAUUCCGAGUGUAGAGGUGAAAUUCGUAGAUAUUCGGAGGAACACCAGUGGCGAAGGCGGCUCACUGGCUCGAUACUGACGCUGAGGUGCGAAAGCGUGGGGAGCAAACAGGAUUAGAUACCCUUGUAGUCCCAUGAU
Molecule: ribosomal RNA, 453 nt
Filed under: uncultured organism
Description: partial 16S ribosomal RNA
Rfam family: Bacterial small subunit ribosomal RNA
Source: RNAcentral